Molecule: ribosomal RNA, 579 nt
Filed under: uncultured bacterium
Lineage: Bacteria
Description: partial 16S ribosomal RNA
Rfam family: Bacterial small subunit ribosomal RNA
Source: RNAcentral
UGGGGAAUUUUGGACAAUGGGCGAAAGCCUGAUCCAGCAAUGCCGCGUGUGUGAAGAAGGCCCUCGGGUUGUAAAGCACUUUUGUCCGGAAAGAAAUCCUUGGCUCUAAUACAGUCGGGGGAUGACGGUACCGGAAGAAUAAGCACCGGCUAACUACGUGCCAGCAGCCGCGGUAAUACGUAGGGUGCAAGCGUUAAUCGGAAUUACUGGGCGUAAAGCGUGCGCAGGCGGUUUGCUAAGACCGAUGUGAAAUCCCCGGGCUCAACCUGGGAACUGCAUUGGUGACUGGCAGGCUAGAGUAUGGCAGAGGGGGGUAGAAUUCCACGUGUAGCAGUGAAAUGCGUAGAGAUGUGGAGGAAUACCGAUGGCGAAGGCAGCCCCCUGGGCCAAUACUGACGCUCAUGCACGAAAGCGUGGGGAGCAAACAGGAUUAGAUACCCUGGUAGUCCACGCCCUAAACGAUGUCAACUAGUUGUUGGGGAUUCAUUUCCUUAGUAACGUAGCUAACGCGUGAAGUUGACCGCCUGGGGAGUACGGUCGCAAGAUUAAAACUCAAAUGAAUUGACGGGGUCAUAGCUG